This 80-nucleotide transfer RNA is filed under the name Heliconius melpomene (postman butterfly). RNAcentral describes it as "tRNA HMEL005209". It matches the Rfam family "tRNA". Rfam says of the family: Transfer RNA (tRNA) molecules are approximately 80 nucleotides in length. Their secondary structure includes four short double-helical elements and three loops (D, anti-codon, and T loops). Lineage: Eukaryota; Metazoa; Arthropoda; Insecta; Lepidoptera; Nymphalidae. The record is from RNAcentral.
UCAUCGGUGGUUCAGUGGUAGAAUGCUCGCCUGCGGCCACGGCCACGCGGGCGGCCCGGGUUCGAUUCCCGGCCAAUGCA